This 255-nucleotide unclassified non-coding RNA is filed under the name uncultured fungus. RNAcentral describes it as "sequence contains ITS2". The stretch from base 1 to 52 matches the Rfam family "5.8S ribosomal RNA", at positions 103 to 154 of the family's 154-position model. The record is from RNAcentral. Lineage: Eukaryota; Fungi.
AACGCACCUUGCGCCCUCUGGUAUUCCGGAGGGCAUGCCUGUUUGAGUGUCAUGUAGACUCAACCCCUCGGGUUUCCGAGAUGGUUGGAUUUGGAUGUUGCCAUUAGCUUGGCUCAUCUUAAAAGUCUUAGCGGAAUAGCUCCGUAGUCGACGUAAUAAGUUUCGUCGGUGAAGGUGUGAUGUCUGCUUAUAAUCGCCUUCGGGCAAUCUUUUGACUCUGACCUCAAAUCAGGUAGGGCUACCCGCUGAACUUAA